CUAUGCGCCUUGCCAGCCCGCUCAGGUGUGCCAGCAGCCGCGGUAAUACGUAGGGGGCAAGCGUUAUCCGGAUUUACUGGGUGUAAAGGGAGCGUAGACGGCAGGGCAAGUCUGGAGUGAAAGGCGGGGGCUCAACCCCCGGACUGCUCUGGAAACUGCCAGGCUGGAGUGCAGGAGAGGUAAGUGGAAUUCCUAGUGUAGCGGUGAAAUGCGUAGAUAUUAGGAGGAACACCAGUGGCGAAGGCGGCCUGCUGGACUGCAACUGACGUUGAGGCUCGAAGGCGUGGGGAGCAAACAGG
RNAcentral lists this ribosomal RNA (299 nucleotides) under uncultured bacterium. RNAcentral describes it as "partial 16S ribosomal RNA". It matches the Rfam family "Bacterial small subunit ribosomal RNA", at positions 475 to 776 of the family's 1533-position model. The record is from RNAcentral.